Molecule: transfer RNA, 71 nt
Filed under: Patescibacteria group bacterium
Lineage: Bacteria
Description: tRNA-Arg
Rfam family: tRNA
About the family: Transfer RNA (tRNA) molecules are approximately 80 nucleotides in length. Their secondary structure includes four short double-helical elements and three loops (D, anti-codon, and T loops).
Source: RNAcentral
AAGAGAAUGGUGUAGUGGUAGCACAUCAGCCUCCGAAGCUGAUAGUCCAGGUUCAAUCCCUGGUUCUCUUG